This 711-nucleotide ribosomal RNA is filed under the name Triticum aestivum (bread wheat). RNAcentral describes it as "partial small subunit ribosomal RNA". The record is from RNAcentral. Lineage: Eukaryota; Viridiplantae; Streptophyta; Magnoliopsida; Poales; Poaceae.
AUGUCUACUUCAGUCCCCCACUCACAUUCUUGCCAUGCAAUCCCAUCAGUCCAUCAAUUACCAUCUCUACCACUCAUGGAGAUCACCGCCACCGCGGCUCGCGCGGAGAUCGACAGCUCCCGGCCGUUCCAGUCUGUCAGGGAGGCCGUCGAGGUCUUCGGCGGUGUGAGGUACGUCGCAGGCUCCCGUGGCAGCAGCGCAUCCAGCUCCAAGUUCAGCGUGCCACGGGCGGCUUCCCCGCCGUCAUCCACGUUGCUGGGCUGCCUGAAGAAGCUGGAGGCCGACCUGGCGGAGUCUAGGAGCGAGCUGGCGCAACUCAAGCAGAGGCAAUCGCAGAUGGAGAUGGCCGUCUCCAGCAUCGGCAUGCAGUUCGCAAACAGCCUGGGGAUCUUCUCCGACUCCGCGGACCUCAAGAAAGGGAAGGAGCUCGCCGUCAUCGACGUCGGCAGGACCGCGAUGGUCGGCGCAGAGGAGGAAUACGGUGACGGCCGGGUUCGCAGCGAUCUAUGGGUCGACGAGACCAGGGCCGAGGAGUGGAUGGCCAGCCUCGAGUACCUGCCGAGCCUCUCGGAGGCGCUGACAAUCAAGAUGGUCGAUGAUGACAUAAGGAAGAUGAAGAGCAACAAGAAAGCCAAGAAGAAGCAGCACAAGAAGCAGAGGAAGAAUGCGUUGUCCCUCGUGGGAGGCAUCUUCUCCAACAAGUGCAGGUGA